Mauremys reevesii (Reeves's turtle) is the source of this 758-nucleotide long non-coding RNA. RefSeq lists it as uncharacterized. NCBI's taxonomy places the organism in Eukaryota, Metazoa, Chordata, Testudines, Geoemydidae. The transcript is spliced from 3 exons. The record is from RefSeq and is a predicted model, not a curated record.
UGGCUGGGAAAACUUCAUGGCCCAAGGUGGCCGCCAGGACUGGCCGGACCUGCCCUUCGCUUGCUAUCCAGAGGAGUUGCUGGACCUACCCCGCGCUCGCUACCCGGAGGAGUUGCCAGGCCUGCCGCUUGCCCACUACCCAGAGGAACCCAUGGUGCUGGACCCCGCAGAGGACAACACCCUGACCCAGGACCAGCAUUCUUCAGCCAUCUCUGCAACUGCACCUCCAAGCCAAUUUGUCUACCCAGCAAAUGUCUUCUAUCUCCCCUUUUGGCAUGCAGCUACAACUUCUCUCCUAAGGGAACAGCUACAGCAGUGAUUUGAGAUUUGGUUAGAGAAAAGGGUGACUAUGUGAUAGGUCAAAGAAAUCCAUCUGUCGGGGCUAUACUGUUGUUUUCUGACCUUGGCCACCUAACUCAGGAAGAGAUGACAACAUCUGCCUAUAAUCAUAGCCUUUAAAGGUGAAAAAGAUGAACCCAUCCUUGUACAGCUUGCAAAAUCCAGGGUGGAAACAGCAGAAAUGAGCACAUCUUUGUGGGGGAGUAAAGUCAAGUGAUAUUCAAACUGCUAGAUGAAAUGGACAAGGAUGCAUGAACAGUACUGCAGGGCACAGAAGUGAAGCUUAAUUGAACAUUUGGAGCACGGAUCACAUUAAUUCCCCUGCUUUUUCUUUUUUUCUACUGGUUAUUAUCCAUUUAAUUAGCAUCAACUAGUUUCGUAAUUUCAUGUGGUAUCCCUGUUUUGUUUUCACUUCUCUC